GGGGAUGUAUUUGGUUUUGACGUUAAUGAUUUAAGUUAAUUGAUGGCAAUCCAGGCAUCGCGCUGUCUGCCUGCCAAUUAGCCCAGCGCAUUAUAAGUGCAAAUACUUAUAGAUCUUUAGCUGCUUCUGCAAAACGAAUGGCUGCAAGAGUUUCGACUCCUGCUUUCGUUCCUUUUUUUGCUUAAAUAGCUAUUACGCCCCGCUGAGCGGGGCUCGUCUUGCAUAGCGACACCUGCUGACUGUGUAAGGCGUAAUUUAGCAGGUUAAGCCCCGACGACGCCUUUGGAGGUGUCGGGGUCGAAAAAAUAACCCAGAUAGGCUAAGUCGCUUUUGUUCGUCUUUAUGGCUUAGAUGAAAAUUCUAAACGAACUAUGAUUGUAGAGGUUUAUUGACUUCAUUUUCGGACCCCGGUUCGACUCCGGGCAUCUCCACCA
This 434-nucleotide transfer-messenger RNA is filed under the name Patescibacteria group. RNAcentral describes it as "JAFGTE01 sp018825145 Standard tmRNA". It matches the Rfam family "transfer-messenger RNA". Rfam says of the family: Bacterial tmRNA, also known as 10Sa RNA or SsrA, is named for its dual tRNA and mRNA-like properties. Its role is to liberate the mRNA from a stalled ribosome. RNAcentral also lists the same sequence under 1 other name. The record is from RNAcentral.